GACGAACGCUGGCGGCGUGCCUAACACAUGCAAGUCGAACGGGGUGAUUUUCUUCGGAGGAUCACUUAGUGGCGAACGGGUGAGUAACGCGUGAGAAACCUGCCUUUCAGUGGGGGACAACAGUUGGAAACGACUGCUAAUACCGCAUAACGUAUUUUGGGGGCAUCCCUGAAAUACCAAAGCUUUAUGUGCUGAAAGAUGGUCUCGCGUCUGAUUAGAUAGUUGGUGAGGUAACGGCUCACCAAGUCGACGAUCAGUAGCCGGUCUGAGAGGAUGAACGGCCACAUUGGGACUGAGAUACGGCCCAGACUCCUACGGGAGGCAGCAGUGGGGAAUAUUGGGCAAUGGGGGAAACCCUGACCCAGCAACGCCGCGUGAAGGAAGAAGGCCUUCGGGUUGGUAAACUUCUUUACCUAGGGACGAAGAACGUGACGGUACCUGGAGAAAAGACAACGGCUAACUACGUG
This 467-nucleotide ribosomal RNA is filed under the name uncultured bacterium. Its description in RNAcentral is "bacterial SSU rRNA". It matches the Rfam family "Bacterial small subunit ribosomal RNA", at positions 28 to 507 of the family's 1533-position model. The record is from RNAcentral.